GGAAGUGAGCGGGCUCCUGGGUAACAUAGUUCAAAGGUACAAGAUUUCUAAUUACACAUAUGGUAUAGGAUGUACAUGUAUUAUUAUACAAUAUAUUUCCAUGUUUGUCAUGUUGUAAAAGAAGAGACAUACCUGGACUUUGCAGUGGGGUUGCUUUCCUCUUCAGGGGUUAAACCCAUGGUUUAUCCUGGUUUGCUCAUCUAGGUCGGGAGGAUGGAGUCCUGCUCCUAAGCUAGGCAGAACAGUUAUAUGAGAAAUCCUGAAUAUAAUAGCACAGAUUAAGCCCUCCUUCAUGGGACUUUGGGGCUGCUGUAGUGCUAUCUCUACUUGGGGGCAUUUUUCCUGCAUUGGUCCUGGUACUUGGCACUCAUCCAGCAACCUGGCUGCAUCCCUAACCAGUUUUUCUUGCAGUGACUCCAACACAAAAGGUCUCUCUGAGUUUUCUGUGUAUGUGUCUCCUUUCUCCUGUUUUCACCAAGGAGGGGACAAGGCUGUGUGAGUUGGGAGGAACGAACCUAAUCCUUUUUGGGACUUCUUCUUUUGGGACUUCCUUUGGACCUGGGUCUUUCUGACAUGUUUGAUAUAGAAACAAUAUGCAGGUGUGCUUUUCCUAGUUUGAGUGCCCAGCGUGCAAAUUCAAGCUGUCUGCGAGCCCCUAGAUUACCAGAGAGAGUUGAGGGAGAAAGUGCUUGCUUUGGGUGGCUGGACGGAGGGGUGGGGCAUGCAAAAUAUGUCCUUGGGUGCUGGGAAGAGGACGAACUGGCAGCUCCUGGUGUGUCGGCUCAGCACGUAUGCCAUGUCUUUGCCAAUGCUGCAUGAUUAUCCUGGGUCCUCAAUUCUCUGUCUUCUUUGGCGAAGUGUCAGAUUUGUCACUUGCCUUUCUUGCUGUUUGUUCCAUAUGAUAGAUAGUCCAUUUCCUGAAUCCAGUUGUUUUCUCUGGCCAUCUCCCUCCACAUCCCCGCCUCCUAAACUUUCCUGGAUUCCUUCAAGUCUCAGGCCUUGAUGAAGAGAGGAGUUGUGGAAUUGUUCAUGAUCUCAGACAAUAAGGAUGACUGGAGCAAAGGCAAAAUGGAAGGUGGUGUACACAUAUUAUAAUCUCUCAGAUACAUUGACAUGAAAAGCUAUAAGGUAGAAUAAAAGCAUUAGACCAAUAGGAAACUGAAUCA
Molecule: long non-coding RNA, 1166 nt
Filed under: Monodelphis domestica (gray short-tailed opossum)
Lineage: Eukaryota; Metazoa; Chordata; Mammalia; Didelphimorphia; Didelphidae
Description: lncRNA (ENSMODG00000042438.1)
Source: RNAcentral